RNAcentral lists this ribosomal RNA (481 nucleotides) under uncultured bacterium. RNAcentral's name for it is "partial 16S ribosomal RNA". It matches the Rfam family "Bacterial small subunit ribosomal RNA", at positions 28 to 507 of the family's 1533-position model. The record is from RNAcentral.
GAUGAACGCUGGCGGCGUGCUUAACACAUGCGAGUCGAACGAAGCACUUUAUUUGAUUUCCUUCGGGACUGAUUAUUUUGUGACUGAGUGGCGGACGGGUGAGUAACGCGUGGGUAACCUGCCUUGUACAGGGGGAUAACAGUUGGAAACGGCUGCUAAUACCGCAUAAGCGCACAGCAUCGCAUGAUGCAGUGUGAAAAACUCCGGUGGUAUAAGAUGGACCCGCGUUGGAUUAGCUAGUUGGUGAGGUAACGGCCCACCAAGGCGACGAUCCAUAGCCGACCUGAGAGGGUGACCGGCCACAUUGGGACUGAGACACGGCCCAAACUCCUACGGGAGGCAGCAGUGGGGAAUAUUGCACAAUGGGCGAAAGCCUGAUGCAGCGACGCCGCGUGAGCGAAGAAGUAUUUCGGUAUGUAAAGCUCUAUCAGCAGGGAAGAUAAUGACGGUACCUGACUAAGAAGCACCGGCUAAAUACGUG